GGCAUGGUGGCUUAGUGGUAAGCAUGUUUGGCUCACACCUCCGGGGUCGGGGGUUCGAAUCCUGCCUCCGCCC
Molecule: non-coding RNA, 73 nt
Organism: Pangasianodon gigas (Mekong giant catfish)
Lineage: Eukaryota; Metazoa; Chordata; Actinopteri; Siluriformes; Pangasiidae
Source: the annotation of a GenBank genome assembly